UUCAUGCUUGCGACACGUGGACGUCGUCUCGGCCUCUCCGGUGCUUUUUAUCGAACGCCACUCUAACCCCGCCCAGCCCUUCAGCGCCGCGCCGCCCCGCCAAUGUCUAAAGACCCAACGACUCCGCAAAUACCCUCCAAAAACUAAAAUCCAAACCAUGUCCCUCACUUUCUACCCGUCUCCUCUUUCGCUCCCCUCCGCUUCCUCUCUCCCUCAUGCGCACCCUACCCCUCCCCUCCUUCCUAUGUCUAUCCUACGCCGGCUGACUCCUCGCCACCUAUCCUUACACAUCAACGGCAACAGUAGACGGCGCGUUUCCUCAGUCGCCGCCGCUGUUCGACAGGAUACUUCUGUUUGGUCCCAAGCGCCUCUCUCCCAGAUCGAACCUGCUGCUGAGUCCCU
RNAcentral lists this unclassified non-coding RNA (402 nucleotides) under Hevea brasiliensis (rubber tree). The record is from RNAcentral. Lineage: Eukaryota; Viridiplantae; Streptophyta; Magnoliopsida; Malpighiales; Euphorbiaceae.